RNAcentral lists this ribosomal RNA (253 nucleotides) under uncultured bacterium. RNAcentral's name for it is "partial 16S ribosomal RNA". It matches the Rfam family "Bacterial small subunit ribosomal RNA", at positions 524 to 776 of the family's 1533-position model. The record is from RNAcentral.
UACGUAGGGGGCAAGCGUUGUCCGGAUUUAUUGGGCGUAAAGAGCGUGUAGGCGGCCUGAAAGGUCAGCUGUGAAAACUCGAGGCUCAACCUCGAGACGUCGGUUGAAACCAUCUGGCUAGAGUCCGGAAGAGGAGUGUGGAAUUCCCGGUGUAGCGGUGAAAUGCGCGGAUAUCGGGAAGAACACCCGUGGCGAAGGCGGCACUCUGGGACGGUACUGACGCUGAGACGCGAAAGCGUGGGGAGCGAACAGG